Aricia agestis (brown argus) is the source of this 658-nucleotide long non-coding RNA. RefSeq lists it as uncharacterized. NCBI's taxonomy places the organism in Eukaryota, Metazoa, Arthropoda, Insecta, Lepidoptera, Lycaenidae. The record is from RefSeq and is a predicted model, not a curated record. The transcript is spliced from 6 exons.
AUACAAAAGUUUAUACAAAGAGUAUUUUCGGUUAAGAGAAACGUUUUAAUAAAAAUAAAUUGUCAUGGAUAUAUUGUAAAUGUGCAUUUUCAUGUUAACUUACAGUUGAAAUCUUAAAUGGACUAGUCACUUUUAUAGAUUUGCAGCUAAAAUAUAUAGGUCCCAAAUUGGACUAAAUCAAUCAUGGAACUAAGUAUAUUUUAACCUUAGGACACCGACUAGUAGGUGUAGACCUUAGGGUCGAGGAGUCGUGGAGUAUCAUGUAUGUAUCAGUUAUGUGACUACUAGUGUGAGUAUGGCUGGUAGAAUAUUAGUAGACGGUAGGGCAUCUACUAGUAGGUGUAGACGGUAGGGCAUCUACCAGUAGGUGUAUACGGUAGGGCACCUACUAGUAGGUGUAGACGGUAGGUCAUUACUAGUAGGUGUAGACGGUAGGGCAUCUACUAGUAGGUGUAUACGGUAGGGCAUCUACUAGUAGAUGUAGACGGUAGGGCAUCUCCUAGUAAGUGUAUACGGUAGGUCAUCUACUAGUAGGUGUAGACGGUAGGGCAUCUAGUAGUAGGUGUAGACGGUAGGUCAUUACUAGUAGGUGUAGACGGUAGGGCAUCUACUAGUAGGUGUAUACGGUAGGGCAUAUACUAGUAGAUGUAGACGGUAG